This 995-nucleotide ribosomal RNA is filed under the name Streptomyces bingchenggensis. RNAcentral's name for it is "bacterial SSU rRNA". It matches the Rfam family "Bacterial small subunit ribosomal RNA", at positions 529 to 1533 of the family's 1533-position model. Lineage: Bacteria; Bacillati; Actinomycetota; Actinomycetes; Kitasatosporales; Streptomycetaceae. The record is from RNAcentral.
GGGGGGACGACGCUGUCGGCAUUAUUGGGCGUAAAGAGCUCGUAGGCGGCGUGUCGCGUCUGCUGUGAAAGACCGGGGCUUAACUCCGGUUCUGCAGUGGAUACGGGCAUGCUAGAGGUAGGUAGGGGAGACUGGAAUUCCUGGUGUAGCGGUGAAAUGCGCAGAUAUCAGGAGGAACACCGGUGGCGAAGGCGGGUCUCUGGGCCUUACCUGACGCUGAGGAGCGAAAGCAUGGGGAGCGAACAGGAUUAGAUACCCUGGUAGUCCAUGCCGUAAACGUUGGGCGCUAGGUGUGGGGACUUUCCACGGUUUCCGCGCCGUAGCUAACGCAUUAAGCGCCCCGCCUGGGGAGUACGGCCGCAAGGCUAAAACUCAAAGGAAUUGACGGGGGCCCGCACAAGCGGCGGAGCAUGUUGCUUAAUUCGACGCAACGCGAAGAACCUUACCAAGGUUUGACAUCACCCGUGGACUCGCAGAGAUGUGAGGUCAUUUAGUUGGCGGGUGACAGGUGGUGCAUGGCUGUCGUCAGCUCGUGUCGUGAGAUGUUGGGUUAAGUCCCGCAACGAGCGCAACCCUUGUUCCAUGUUGCCAGCACGUAAUGGUGGGGACUCAUGGGAGACUGCCGGGGUCAACUCGGAGGAAGGUGGGGAUGACGUCAAGUCAUCAUGCCCCUUAUGUCUUGGGCUGCAAACAUGCUACAAUGGCCGGUACAAUGGGCGUGCGAUACCGUAAGGUGGAGCGAAUCCCUAAAAGCCGGUCUCAGUUCGGAUUGGGGUCUGCAACUCGACCCCAUGAAGGUGGAGUCGCUAGUAAUCGCGGAUCAGCAACGCCGCGGUGAAUACGUUCCCGGGCCUUGUACACACCGCCCGUCACGUCAUGAAAGUCGGCAACACCCGAAACUUGCGGCCUAACCCCUUGUGGGAGGGAGUGAGUGAAGGUGGGGCUGGCGAUUGGACGAUCUACAAAGGGGGGGCCCCCAUAAGAAAAGGGGUUUU